GAGGCACAUGGCGUGUGAAGAAAAGAAGGAAGACAGACCACACUGAGAAAGCAGGUGUGAGAGGCGGGACUAGCCUAGGGGCCCCGGGUGGAACCCCUGCAAGGCUGCACCUUGGUCCUGCUGACUUGGCCCCUCGGGGCUGGUCUCCUGCCCCUUCUUUCAUCUAAUCCCCCUGCUGCUGCAGGGAAGAUGGACAGCUGAGCCUGGCAAAGGGCAAGCACCUCAGCCACAGGAGAGCAUAGGAAACUCAGAAGUCAGGACAUAGUUGAUGUGUUACCGGUGGGCUUCGGGGACCAGAGGGGAAGCAGAGGGGCGUUCUAAGCCACAACUGAAAUUCCCAGUUCUGGGUUAAACCCCAUGAACCUAAGGGUCUGUGUCGCAUGGCUCCCGGUCGUGAUCCCCUGCCCCCUCACUUAGCUCUAUUUCAGGCUCAGGAGGAGGUCUUAGCUUUCUCUGUUGAGUUUUCAAGCAGUAUGCAUUAAAAUAAGGAAAACCAGCUUCUUGCGUUCUUUGAAAUCGUGCCCCCAUCCUUGGUGUGGUCCUCUGAACACAUCAAGGCCAAGACCAACACUGAUAGACUAUGUAGGUGGGGCGCCAGGCCAAGCUUCCCAUUUUCCUUCCUUCCCAUUACCUGCAGCGUAUUUUACACCAGGAUAAACCUUAACUUUAAAAAUCAUAAGGCUUUCAGGAGUUCGUGUCGUGGCACAGUGGUUAAUGAAUCCGACUAGGAACCAUGAGGUUGCAGGUUCGAUCCCUGGCCUUGCUCAGUGGGUUAAAGAUCCGGCGUUGCCGUGAGCUGUGGUGUAGGUUGCAGACGUGGCUCGGAUCCCGUGUUACUGUGGCUCUGGCGUAGGCUGGUGGCUACAGCUCCGAUUAGACCCCUAGCCUGGGAACCUCCAUAUGCCGCGAGAGUGGCCCAAUAAAUGGCAAAAAGACCAAAAAAAAAAAAAAAAUCAUAAGGCUUUCACAUCUUACUGGAAAGAAGAUGAUCAGUUAAUGGAAUAGUAAACCCUUCCCAACCCACCUUCGGCCUAUGGAACGAGUGGAGACCUGGCAUUUGCAGGGUUAAUAGCUGAGCCUUAGAACUGGUGGGCUGGAGUCAGUCAGCAUCUCAGUGUGGCUUUGUCUUUUAAGAAAAACUGCUUGGUUUUAUGGGGAAGAUGAUAUGCUCGGGAGAAUCACAAAGGUCGCCAAAUAUUUCUUGGAAAGAGCAGUUAUGCAUACAUUGUCAUAGGUGACUUAGACUUAAUGCAUUUAGUCAAAAUAACCCAAGUGCCCACGACGUGCCAGGCAUAGUUGUAGAUGCUACAUCGGUGCUGCCAUUAAGACAGAUCAGGUAAUGGCCCUUAUGAAGGAGACAGAAUAACAAGGAAAGAAAAUAAUUUUAGUUUAUAUUGUGCAGAAAGAAAAACAAGGCUAGAGAAUAUUAGGAGAGGAAUGAGCAGGAUCUCUGAGGAGGUGAUACUUGAGCUACGCCCUGGGGAGUGAGGCACCAGCAAAACUAUGCAGCAGCUUCACUUCUCUUGGCCACAACCCACUCAUCUUAGAGGGAGGGUAGGGGGUGUUAGGUUUCCACAGGUACAAAUAAGGAGGUUAGUUAAGCAUUUCCAACAGCAGUUGCAGGACCACAAGCUGCUCAGCAGAGGCCAGUCUCCAGUGCCCUGUGGAAGAUACUGGUGAGGUUUUCAGAUCUCUGUUCCUGGUGAACAAUUCUCAGCUGGAAGAUGAAAUUCAAAGUCUGUGGGAAACAGUAUGGCAGUUUUUCAAAAAAUUAGACAUUGAAAUACCAUAUGCUCCAGCCUCUGGAUAUGUAUUCCAGGAAUUGAAAGCAGGGACUCAAACAGAUAUUUGUACAACAAUGUUCACAGCGGCAUUAUUCACAAUAACCAAAAGGUGGAAAUAACCCAAAUGCCCAACCACAAAUGAGUGGAUACAGAAAGUGUAGUACAUAAAUCCAAAGGAGUAUUACUCAGCCUUCAAAAAGGAAUAAAGUUCUGACACAUGUUGCAACAGGGAUGGACCUAGAGAAUAUUACACUGAGUGAAAGUAAACCCAAAAAGAACAAAUCCAGUAUGAUUUCGUUUCUAUGACGUACAUAAAAUAGAUGAAUUCAUAGAGACAAAAAGUAGAAUCCAGGGGAGUGGAAUGAGUGUUUGCUAAGUACAGAAUUUCUGUUUGGGAUGAUAAAGUUCUGGAAAUAGUGAUGGUUGCACAAGCACUAAAUGUACUUACUGCCACUGAGUUGUAUACUCAAAAAUAGUUGAAAUUGUAUGCUUUGUGUUACGGAUAUUUUACCACAUUAAAAAAAAAAAAAAAAGCACAUGAGAGGUUGAGAGGAGGCUGAUCAGGCAGUGACAACCUUGAUCUUAAUGUUUAAAAUAAACCAGAGGGGUGUGGAGGCGGAUGGGGCCAGGGCUCUGCAGGUGGCUGUCAGGUAGCUCCUAUGCCACGCCCCUGACACCUCCAGGACAGACCUUGCAGCCCCUAUGGCAGCAGAAAAGGGGUGGAGCCUCAAGUCAGACAGGGGUCAGGGAGGGACAUAAACCUCCUGCCGUGUCCCCUACCCAUCACGUGCCUCCCCCACAGACCCGGAAAAGACCCACUUGCUGCUUCCAACACCGCCAGACACUUCUGGUGGCUGGUGUGGCUCCUGGGUAGAGGAGGUCAGCCCUGAGUCCAGGGGGGUCUCAAGGUGUGGUCCCCUGGGAAUGUUCUAAAUGCUAAUUCUCAGGCCCUACCCUGGACUUACUGAUCCAAAACCCUAGAUGUGGGGCCCAACAGUGUGUUUCAACAAGUCAUCCUCUGGGAGACUCUGAUGUUGGGGAACCACUGUUCCCAACCCCUGCAGGAAGAGCUGGAUGCUUUUCUGGGCAAUAACCCCAUGCAUUUAGUGAGCACCUCCUGAGUGCAAAGCCCCAGACUGUGUGCAACUGGGGGACACAAGGCAAGCCAUCACAGGAAGCACCCUUCCUAUGGGAUGCUCGGACCCCAAGGACAUCAGAGGGCAUGAGCAGCUGGGAGCCCAGGUAGGGUAGGUGAGCCUGCAUCACACCCUCUCCUGGUGUGGGCACACCUGGCAUGGCCGGCCAGGGCCCCUUUGCCACAAGCUGCCAUGGUGCUGCUGUGUCAGCACCAUGCUCUCAGCUCAGCUGCCUGUGUACAUAAAGCAGAUGUGUCUUUCCUUGGCGUUCUCUUAUGGCAUGGCAGGUUAGGGAUCCAUCGUUGUCACUGCAGCAGCUCGGGUCACUGCUGUGGCACAGGUUUGAUCCCUGGCCCAGGAACUUCUUCAUGCUGUGAGCAUGGCCAAAAAAAAAAA
Molecule: long non-coding RNA, 3316 nt
Filed under: Sus scrofa (pig)
Lineage: Eukaryota; Metazoa; Chordata; Mammalia; Artiodactyla; Suidae
Description: lncRNA (ENSSSCG00015047809.1)
Source: RNAcentral